AAAUUCACUUUGUGGUGCUAUUGUAGCUGUGUUGGUCCCAUGAUAUUAGAGAGACAAGGUGAGUGAGUGAGGUGAUACCUUUUACUGGACCUGCUGCACUUGGUGAAAGAGACAAGCUUUCAAGCUUACACUGA
Chelonoidis abingdonii (Abingdon island giant tortoise) is the source of this 134-nucleotide non-coding RNA. The record is from RefSeq and is a predicted model, not a curated record. Lineage: Eukaryota; Metazoa; Chordata; Testudines; Testudinidae.